GGUAGUUUGAUUUUAAUGCUGUUGAACAAUGGUUCAUCUCAGAAUUGUUUCUCUGAUUAUUCUCGUAAUCUUGCGACUAGAAUUUUGUUCCAGUAGAAAUAUUGACGAGUGUUCUGGUGCACCCUCCGAUGAUAUUUGUUCUGUUGGCGAAUCGAAUUUCGUGUACCGUUGGUAUUAUAAUGCCACAGAGAAAAAAUGCUCAAGUUUUUUAUAUGAUAAUGAGUGUGGAAACAAUGGAAAGAAUUUUUUCCUCACAGAACACAAAUGCCAAUUGAAAUGCUUGUAAACUAAAAUUAAUUGUGUUUAACAUUUGAAAUUGUAAUAUUUCCAGAAUAAUUAACAAACAAUUGCUUUAAUGCGUGCAUCAUUUGACAUUUUCUAAUCAGUUACACAAAUCAAUGCAAUAAAAUCAAAUCAGAGUAAA
Long non-coding RNA from Contarinia nasturtii (swede midge), 424 nucleotides. RefSeq lists it as uncharacterized. Lineage: Eukaryota; Metazoa; Arthropoda; Insecta; Diptera; Cecidomyiidae. The transcript is spliced from 2 exons. The record is from RefSeq and is a predicted model, not a curated record.